Oncorhynchus tshawytscha (Chinook salmon) is the source of this 470-nucleotide non-coding RNA. The record is from the annotation of a RefSeq genome assembly. NCBI's taxonomy places the organism in Eukaryota, Metazoa, Chordata, Actinopteri, Salmoniformes, Salmonidae.
GGAGAGGAUUAAAGCUCUGACUAGAUUGAUGAACAGAGACACAUCAUAACUACUAAUAGUUCAUCAUGACGUUUACUAUUGUGGUUCUUCUGAUGACAAUGGGCUUGAAAGGUGUUCAUGGUCAGACACUGACUGAGUCUGGACCAGUUGUAAAAAUAACUGGAGAAACACACAAAGUGACCUGUACAGCUUCUGGGUUCACAUUCAGUAGCUACUGGAUGGCUUGGAUCAGACAGGUUCCUGGGAAAGGACUUGAAUGGAUUGCCAUUAUAAGAUAUGAUAGUGCUGAAAUCUACUACUCCCAGUCUGUUCAGGGUCGGUUCACCAUCUCCAGAGACAACAGUAAGCAGCAGGUGUAUCUCCAGAUGAACAGCCUGAACACUGAAGACUCUGCUGUUUAUUAUUGUGCCAGAAACACAGUGACACAGGAUCCUGCAGCGCCGUACAAAAACUGAUCAACACUGAUCACA